CCUACGGGUGGCAGCAGUGAGGAAUAUUGGUCAAUGGGCGAGAGCCUGAACCAGCCAAGUCGCGUGAGGGAGUACUGCCCUAUGGGUUGUAAACCUCUUUUGUCGGGGAGCAAAAGCCGGACGUGUCCGGCUGUGAGAGUACCCGAAGAAAAAGCAUCGGCUAACUCCGUUCCAGCAGCCGCGGUAAUACGGAGGAUGCGAGCGUUAUCCGGAUUUAUUGGGUUUAAAGGGUGCGCAGGCGGAUUUUUAAGUCAGCGGUAAAAUCGUGGGGCUCAACCCCAUCCAGCCGUUGAAACUGGGGAUCUAGAGUGUGCGAGAGGUAUGCGGAAUGCGUGGUGUAGCGGUGAAAUGCAUAGAUAUCACGCAGAACCCCGAUUGCGAAGGCAGCAUACCGGUGCACAACUGACGCUCAGGCACGAAAGCGUGGGUAUCGAACAGGAUUAGAUACCCCAGUAGUC
Molecule: ribosomal RNA, 458 nt
Filed under: uncultured bacterium
Lineage: Bacteria
Description: partial 16S ribosomal RNA
Rfam family: Bacterial small subunit ribosomal RNA
Source: RNAcentral